Molecule: long non-coding RNA, 594 nt
Organism: Notolabrus celidotus (New Zealand spotty)
Lineage: Eukaryota; Metazoa; Chordata; Actinopteri; Labriformes; Labridae
Exons: 2
Source: RefSeq, a predicted model, not a curated record
GGUAGGACCAGGAUGAAUGCAUGGACACCUUCAGGAUCACAGAGGGAGACACACCUGAGUGAUUCCUCCAUCACUGUCUCCAGAGGUUUUCCACACAGAGCAGGAAGCUCCACCAGGGAAACCCAACGUCCACACACCUCUCCCUGAUGUUUAACACACUCUGAUGAGCUGGAGGCUGAAUGAAGACCUGUCUGACCUAAAAUGAACUUUGCUGCUGAAGUCUUCCCUGCUCCUCUCCUCCCACACAGGACCAGGUUUAAAGCUGGUUUCAUGUGUUCAGUCUUCAGAGUGAUCAACUCUUCAGUGAGGGUGACCUCACAGUUUCUGGCUCGUUUGGUUUGAGGGUGUUUUCCAUGAUGACCAGUUUGAUCAUGCAUGAUGAUGAAGUUGGACAUUUUUUUCUUUCUGUCGUCACUUUUUCCCAGCAGGAUAAUCUUGAAUCCAGAUUCUGAAACACAGCAGAGAAAAUAAAAUACCAUAAAGUUAUAACUAGAAUGACGUCACUCAGUUUUGUUGAUGUGGGAGGAUCUACAGGCAGGUUAAUGUUCAAUUCCAAGUCUAAACAUUAUGUGGAAUAAAAUGUGUUUAUAAGCA